CCUACGGGAGGCAGCAGUGAGGAAUAUUGGUCAAUGGGCGCGAGCCUGAACCAGCCAAGUAGCGUGAAGGAUGACUGCCCUACGGGUUGUAAACUUCUUUUAUAAAGGAAUAAAGUGAGGCACGUGUGCCUUUUUGUAUGUACUUUAUGAAUAAGGAUCGGCUAACUCCGUGCCAGCAGCCGCGGUAAUACGGAGGAUCCGAGCGUUAUCCGGAUUUAUUGGGUUUAAAGGGAGCGUAGAUGGGUUGUUAAGUCAGUUGUGACAGUUUGCGGCUCAACCGUAAAAUUGCAAUUGAUACUGGCAGUCUUGCGUACAGUUGCGGUAGGCGGACUUCGUGGUGUGGCGGUGAACUUCUUCGAUCUCACGA
This 367-nucleotide ribosomal RNA is filed under the name uncultured bacterium. RNAcentral's name for it is "partial 16S ribosomal RNA". It matches the Rfam family "Bacterial small subunit ribosomal RNA", at positions 338 to 702 of the family's 1533-position model. The record is from RNAcentral.